RNAcentral lists this ribosomal RNA (155 nucleotides) under uncultured bacterium. RNAcentral's name for it is "partial 16S ribosomal RNA". It matches the Rfam family "Bacterial small subunit ribosomal RNA", at positions 355 to 509 of the family's 1533-position model. The record is from RNAcentral.
UGAGGAAUAUUGGUCAAUGGCCGGAAGGCUGAACCAGCCAAGCCGCGUGAAGGACGAAGGUGCCAAGCAUUGUAAACUCUUUGUCAAGGGACAAAAUCAGGCUCGAGAGCCUGACCGAGGGUACUUGAAGAAAAAGCAUCGGCUAACUCCGUGCC